RNAcentral lists this ribosomal RNA (455 nucleotides) under Cutibacterium acnes. RNAcentral's name for it is "bacterial SSU rRNA". It matches the Rfam family "Bacterial small subunit ribosomal RNA", at positions 1 to 459 of the family's 1533-position model. Lineage: Bacteria; Bacillati; Actinomycetota; Actinomycetes; Propionibacteriales; Propionibacteriaceae. The record is from RNAcentral.
UUAGAGUUUGAUCCUGGCUCAGGACGAACGCUGGCGGCGUGCUUAACACAUGCAAGUCGAACGGAAAGGCCCUGCUUUUGUGGGGUGCUCGAGUGGCGAACGGGUGAGUAACACGUGAGUAACCUGCCCUUGACUUUGGGAUAACUUCAGGAAACUGGGGCUAAUACCGGAUAGGAGCUCCUGCUGCAUGGUGGGGGUUGGAAAGUUUCGGCGGUUGGGGAUGGACUCGCGGCUUAUCAGCUUGUUGGUGGGGUAGUGGCUUACCAAGGCUUUGACGGGUAGCCGGCCUGAGAGGGUGACCGGCCACAUUGGGACUGAGAUACGGCCCAGACUCCUACGGGAGGCAGCAGUGGGGAAUAUUGCACAAUGGGCGGAAGCCUGAUGCAGCAACGCCGCGUGCGGGAUGACGGCCUUCGGGUUGUAAACCGCUUUCGCCUGUGACGAAGCGUGAGUGA